RNAcentral lists this long non-coding RNA (1038 nucleotides) under Vigna radiata. Its description in RNAcentral is "long non-coding RNA (VRAD_LNC000014)". Lineage: Eukaryota; Viridiplantae; Streptophyta; Magnoliopsida; Fabales; Fabaceae. The record is from RNAcentral.
UAUUUCCCAGCACCUGUUCAGUCUCAGGAAACUCCUAAUCAGCAAUACCAACUUCCUUUAUCGCAACAUACUCACCCCGCUGCAGCCCCGACCCCACAUCAGCAAUAUCAACAGACCCCACAUCCCCAAUACCCUCAGCCGCCACCUCAUGUUCCUCAACAGCAGCCACCACCUCAUGUUCCUCAACAACAGCCACCAUCACAUCCAUCCAUGAAUCCAUCUCAACUUCAACCUCCUCUGGGGCACCAUGUUGAGGAACAACCACCUUAUCCUCCUCAGAAUUAUCCUCCCAAUGUCCGCCAGCCACCAUCUCAGUCCCCCACCGGUCCUCCUCCUCCUCAACAGUUCUAUGGGGCACCAUCCCACUCCUAUGAACCGCCAUCUAGCAGACCCAGUUCAGGCUAUUCUUCUGGAUAUGGUUCCCUAUCUGGCUCUGGCCCUGCUGAGCAGUAUCGUUAUGGCGGGCCACCUCAGUAUGGUGGCAAUCCUGCACUGAAACCACCACAACUGCCAACUGCUUCAGUGUCUCCUAGUGGUGGAAGCGGUUACCCUCAGCUCCCAACUGCCAGGAUACUCCCACAAGCACUCCCUACUGCAUCUGCAGUGAGUGGUAGCUCAGGUUCUGCUGGAACUGGAGGAAGGGUUUCCGUUGAUGAUGUGGUUGAUAAAGUUGCUAAUAUGGGAUUCCCCAGAGACCAUGUGAGGGCAACAGUUCGGAAGCUGACUGAGAAUGGUCAAUCAGUGGACCUAAAUGCAGUGCUGGAUAAGCUCAUGAAUGAUGGUGAAGUCCAACCCCCACGAAGUUGGUUUGGUCGGUAGCAUAAUAACACGAUUAAUUCAUGUAUAGGAGAACCAAUUGCUAUGAAAGGUGGUUUAUGUGGAGACUUGUUGUUCGGUUGGAUUGUGCCAAAGUGGAUGUUUUAACUCUUUUCUUCUUUCUCUAUUCUUGUUCCUUGGAAAGUUCAAACUUGUUUGUUUACUUUUCUGGCUCUGAUUUAUGACUAUUUUCAUCUUGCUUUGUAUAUCCGCAAUAAAUAG